CUAUCACAUUUGUUAGGAGAUGCUGGCAGUCCUAAUAUUGUGGGUUUGGCAUUUCUUUCUUCAUCAUUCAUGGUAACCGACUGAAUACAAAUUUAAACAAUUCAAACAAACUGCAUUGCUGACUUUUUUGUCCCUGGAAGAAGAACACAAAUGUUGGCUUUGUUUUCUUUUGAAAUCCCUGUUGGCAGUGGUCUCUCAAGAUGUUGUUGGUUCAAAAGUAUCUUCUGCAUUUAGUGGUGACAAUUAUUUUAUAAUAGAGAAAACACAGGGGGCAAAUUGAAAAGACUCAGGGUGAUAUCGUUGCAAACAAGGAUGUUAUUAUUCGUCGUUCAUGGUUGAAUGAUGUGAAACAUAUGUUACGCUGAAAUGUGAUUUUUAACAAC
Molecule: long non-coding RNA, 383 nt
Organism: Dendronephthya gigantea
Lineage: Eukaryota; Metazoa; Cnidaria; Anthozoa; Malacalcyonacea; Nephtheidae
Exons: 4
Source: RefSeq, a predicted model, not a curated record